GCCGAAGUGGCGGAAUUGGUAUACGCGACGGUCUCAAAAACCGUUCCCCGCAAGGGGUUGAGAGUUCGAGUCUCUCCUUCGGCA
This 84-nucleotide transfer RNA is filed under the name Patescibacteria group bacterium. RNAcentral describes it as "tRNA-Leu". It matches the Rfam family "tRNA". Rfam says of the family: Transfer RNA (tRNA) molecules are approximately 80 nucleotides in length. Their secondary structure includes four short double-helical elements and three loops (D, anti-codon, and T loops). The record is from RNAcentral.